GUAGGGGGCGAGCGUUGUCCGGAUUUAUUGGGCGUAAAGGGCUCGUAGGCGGCUUGGCAAGUCGGUCGUGAAAUUCCGGGGCUCAACCCCGGAACGCCGAUCGAAACUGCGAUGGCUUGGGUCCGGUAGAGGAGUGUGGAAUUCCCGGUGUAGCGGUGAAAUGCGCAGAUAUCGGGAGGAACACCACUAGCGAAGGCAGCACUCUGGGCCGGUACCGACGCUGAGGAGCGAAAGCGUGGGGAGCGAACAGGAUUAGAUACCCUGGUAGUCCACGCCGUAAACGAUGGGCACUAGGUGUGGCGGAUCGAUUAACGUCCGCUGUACCGUAGCUAACGCAUUAAGUGCCCCCGCCUGGGGAGUACGGUCGCAAGGCUA
This 375-nucleotide ribosomal RNA is filed under the name uncultured organism. RNAcentral describes it as "partial 16S ribosomal RNA". It matches the Rfam family "Bacterial small subunit ribosomal RNA", at positions 527 to 896 of the family's 1533-position model. The record is from RNAcentral.